GCGUUCUGUAAGCCGUUGAAGGUGUGCUGUGAGGCAUGCUGGAGGUAUCAGAAGUGCGAAUGCUGACAUAAGUAACGAUAAAGCGGGUGAAAAGCCCGCUCGCCGGAAGACCAAGGGUUCCUGUCCAACGUUAAUCGGGGCAGGGUGAGUCGACCCCUAAGGCGAGGCCGAAAGGCGUAGUCGAUGGGAAACAGGUUAAUAUUCCUGUACUUGGUGUUACUGCGAAGGGGGGACGGAGAAGGCUAUGUCAGCCGGGCGACGGUUGUCCCGGUUUAAGCAUGUAGGCGGAGGU
RNAcentral lists this ribosomal RNA (292 nucleotides) under Enterobacter hormaechei. Its description in RNAcentral is "partial 23S ribosomal RNA". It matches the Rfam family "Bacterial large subunit ribosomal RNA", at positions 1236 to 1531 of the family's 2925-position model. The record is from RNAcentral. RNAcentral also lists the same sequence under 3 other names. Lineage: Bacteria; Pseudomonadati; Pseudomonadota; Gammaproteobacteria; Enterobacterales; Enterobacteriaceae.